RNAcentral lists this ribosomal RNA (385 nucleotides) under uncultured bacterium. RNAcentral describes it as "bacterial SSU rRNA". It matches the Rfam family "Bacterial small subunit ribosomal RNA", at positions 28 to 416 of the family's 1533-position model. The record is from RNAcentral.
GACGAACGCUGGCGGCGUGCUUAACACAUGCAAGUCGAGCGGUAAGGCCCUUUCGGGGGUACACGAGCGGCGAACGGGUGAGUAACACGUGGGUGACCUGCCUCUAGCUCUGGGAUAAGCCCGGGAAACUGGGUCUAAUACUGGAUAUGACUCCAUGACGCAUGUUGUGGGGUGGAAAGCCUUGUGCGGCUAGAGAUGGGCCCGCGGCCUAUCAGCUUGUUGGUGGGGGAUGGCCUACCAAGGCGACGACGGGUAGCCGGCCUGAGAGGGCGACCGGCCACACUGGGACUGAGACACGGCCCAGACUCCUACGGGAGGCAGCAGUGGGGAAUCUUGCGCAAUGGCGAAAGCCUGACGCAGCGACGCCGCGUGAGGGAUGACGGCC